RNAcentral lists this transfer RNA (73 nucleotides) under Sneathia vaginalis. RNAcentral's name for it is "[Leptotrichia] amnionii tRNA". It matches the Rfam family "tRNA". Rfam says of the family: Transfer RNA (tRNA) molecules are approximately 80 nucleotides in length. Their secondary structure includes four short double-helical elements and three loops (D, anti-codon, and T loops). Further hydrogen bonds mediate the characteristic L-shaped molecular structure. tRNAs have two regions of fundamental functional importance: the anti-codon, which is responsible for specific mRNA codon recognition, and the 3' end, to which the tRNAs corresponding amino acid is attached (by aminoacyl-tRNA synthetases). tRNAs cope with the degeneracy of the genetic code in two manners: having more than one tRNA (with a specific anti-codon) for a particular amino acid; and 'wobble' base-pairing, i.e. permitting non-standard base-pairing at the 3rd anti-codon position. Lineage: Bacteria; Fusobacteriati; Fusobacteriota; Fusobacteriia; Fusobacteriales; Leptotrichiaceae. The record is from Rfam by way of RNAcentral.
GUGCUUCUAGCUCAAUGGAUAGAGCAGCUGGCUUCGAACCAGAAGGUUACGAGUUCGACUCUUGUGAGGCACG